UCAGUUAGGAUGUGAAUACAUGAAAUAUUCAUCUCAGGACCUUCUAGAAGAAUGAGCUGGGACCCACUUUCCGAGUCCUGCUGGAACCAAAGACCGAGGCUCAGUCAUUUCCACACUAGAGGGAGGGUGUCCUGUGCAAACACCGAGCAGCUUAGAGCAAGGAUCAACAGCAAGAGUGUUAUCCAGCAGGAUCCAGGAAGGUACCUUAAUGGAUAACCAAGUAUGGCGGUCAACAGAGUGUUACCAUAGAUACUACAGGCAGUCAGCUCAGGUGGAGAGCUUGUACCUGUCAUUCACUGAAGUACUCCCAGAACUGUGCCUGGCACAUGUCCACCUGUUGAGUGAAUCACAGGGUAUCCUGUCUUCCCAUCAAUAAGCCAAGAUUUGCAGGGGACACCAGAAACAUCUUUCAACAAAGGGGACAGGAGAAGAGCUGGCUCUUAAAAUAAAUGCAACAUCUGGCUGACCAGGGAGAAGGGAAAUGGCACUUCCAGAAGAGGAAACUGGAUGAGCAAAGAGGAGGGAUCCGAAAGCCAUCAGGACAGGGGCACAAGGCCAGACUACACUGAAGCUUCAUGAGCGGCACCCAGAGGGGGACGAUGCUGGGCAAAGAGGAGAAGGGCCAUGCUCCCGGAGAAAGGGACGGAUUAGAGAAACCAGGAAGAGGUGCUUGACACCCACUGUGGAUCUGGGGCGGGGGGGGGGGGCACAGU
This is a long non-coding RNA of Leopardus geoffroyi (Geoffroy's cat), 713 nucleotides long. RefSeq lists it as uncharacterized. The transcript is spliced from 4 exons. The record is from RefSeq and is a predicted model, not a curated record. NCBI's taxonomy places the organism in Eukaryota, Metazoa, Chordata, Mammalia, Carnivora, Felidae.